Molecule: long non-coding RNA, 457 nt
Filed under: Bos taurus (domestic cattle)
Lineage: Eukaryota; Metazoa; Chordata; Mammalia; Artiodactyla; Bovidae
Description: long non-coding RNA NONBTAT014210
Source: RNAcentral
CCCAUCAAACGUAUUUAGAUUUUUGUCAGUAAUUAUUUUGAACUAAAACUUGUGAAAGAAAUUAUAAUCACCACACUUGUCAUGAGUUGAGAGACUGUUUACUCUCUGUUCUUCCCCUGGCUGCAUAUUUCUGGGUCCUGUUAGGAACAGCACAUCCACUGUGCCAGUGUCAGGUGGCUGGUAAGGAAUACGGCUCCUUGACAAGAAGAACAUAGCAAUUGAGAGAGGAAAAUUGCAGAGGAGCCGGGAGGACGCAGGAGCCGCAAAGGCUCAGAUGCCAGUGAGAGACCAGGGAAAACGGUUUAAACUUGCUUCUUGAGUGUUUAAACCAAUGGGUGACCCAAAAAUAAAGCCCCACCCCCACCCCACAAAGCCAGAACAAGUACCACUGAGUGAAUCCCACCCUUGGAAUGGAGGAGGUCAGGGAGAUACAGGACGAAGCUUAGUCUGGCAGUGC